Neofelis nebulosa (Clouded leopard) is the source of this 1185-nucleotide long non-coding RNA. RefSeq lists it as uncharacterized. Lineage: Eukaryota; Metazoa; Chordata; Mammalia; Carnivora; Felidae. The record is from RefSeq and is a predicted model, not a curated record. The transcript has 6 exons.
CAGUCGGGGGCCGAGCAGGCAUUUUGCGCGAGACGGCGGAACUGCCUGGAAAAGGGGGGUGUCCCUCAGCGGUGGAUCUGGGAGGCGGGGAGACGUCUCUGAGUUUUAGGAAGUUUGUCUCCAUCCUAUGGUAGUUGCUGGCCUUUUGAAAGAGAGAUUCCUCCCUCCCCCUUUCUCAGUAGUUUCAGCAAAAAUCCUGGAGCUGAAACUCAUAGCAUUGAUUUGGGUCAUGUGCCCAGCCCUGAACCAAUCAUUGUGACCAGGGGAUGGAAUACUCGAUGCAUCAGGCCUAGUCACAUGUGCACUCCCGGAGCUGAGCCUUUUGAGCCACAUGGACCAAGAAUUUGGAAGGGCUUUUUUUCCUCCAAAGAAAAAUUGGGUAAGUGUUACUACCAGCAUAAGGAAUGAAGGAUGCUAUCCAGGCAAAACUAAUGGAUGUUUGUUGUUCUACAGGCCCCAGUAUAAGAGAUGUCAUAAGGCAAUAGAUAAUUCCACAUGAUUGUAUCAGGAAAUGAGUAUCAGCUCAGAGGCUUUGGAAGGGGUCAAAGCAAACCUCAAGGAGGAGACUGAAAUUCAUUUAUGCUUGAGAAGUGAGCAGGAAUUGACUUGAUAAGGAAAAGGAAUUCUAGAGGGAGGAAGUGAAGAAAUAGACAUGAUGACCUAAUCAACCACCAUCAGUAAUUUCAAAAACCUAGAAUUGUGCCUUCUCCCCAGCACCCCAAGCCGUUUUCCUCCUGCCCAAGGCUUGCAUUCAGAGGCAGCACGGCGUCGUGAUGAAGAACGCAUCUAGAACCGGAAAGCCUGGCUUUGAACCUGGGUUGUCCUUUACUGUCUGGAGUGAGCUUGAAAACCCAACACCAACCGGCUGAAACAUCAAGUACAAAGAUCAAAACAACAAACAAAGGCAACGUAAUGACUUAUGUAACGGCAACAUUCGAUGGAUUAUCUCACAUCAGGAAUGGCUGGAUCCAGGUGUCCAAAUGAUCCAGGUGCUUUGUUUUCUUCUAUAUAUGGUUCCUUCUCAGGCCUUCUUAUCAUCAUAGUUUGAGUUAACCUACCACCACUCCCACCACUAAAAGCAGACUCUGGGGGUGCCUGGGUGGCUCCGUCGGUGAAGCCUCCAACUUCUGCUCAGGUCACGAUCUCAUAGUUGGUGGGUUCAAGCCGGUCAUCGGGCUCUGUGCU